AGGUCACAGUGAGUCAGGGGUUUAAUUUUGAGUUCAUCAGAUAGCUGAUACUCAGUGACUUCUCUUUCCAUCGAAGCACAAUUCUUAUACAUAUCCCUGUCCCACCCCAACUCAGCAUCACAUAGCUCUCUCUGAAACACCUGGCUACUGGGGAGAUUUAAAUCACUUUAAUCUAUGUAGAGGGUAGAGAAAAUAUCUUUCGUCUUAGAGAAAGAGAUGCGAUACAAAAGAAGACAUCUUAGAAGAGAGGGAAAAUAAAAAUGAAAACAAAAAGUGCCAGCGAUAGCAUAGUUCUGAGACAAAUCCACCCCAGGUCUUUGAUGGGAAGGUGGAUUUUCCAACCAGUGACUUGCCAGUGUCCUGUGUCCCACCUGGUCUUCAUUACUUACACGUAAGUCUGUGCUGCCAGCCCCAGGCAGGAUGUCCCAGCCCUCAUAUUGCAGGCCAGAUGCUAACAAGGGAGUGAUCGAUCAACUGCGAUGCAGCCCACUCCACCCAGCACAGCCACAUUACCUGGAGAGGAGCAAUUAAGUCCCUUUGGUUUCCUUGGAAAUGUUCCAUCCGUCCGUCCCAACUGCCCUGACUCUUGAGAAAUGCCGUAAAUGGUAGAGAUGCUACUGGGAGACAAUGCCUUUAUCUUCCUAUGGAAAGUUUCCAGAAUACGAAGUCAGCCUACAAGAUGGAUUUGCAUUUGCCAAGCCUGCCUGGGCUGAUGGGAAGGAAAACCACUGAUCUGUCAGGAACGUAGAGAUGACUCAAAGACAGGGACGAAGAUGACCCAUCAGGCUGAGCCCUACAGCCAAGUUCUUGCAAACCCAGCUGAAAGUUGUUCUGACUAAGGCCUUUGUGCUUGGACCUCAAAGGUUCAUCUGGAAUCAGACAUGCCUGAACUUGGCUCAGAGCUCCCUCGUGGAAAAGAACACUGUAAACUUCAUUUGCUCUGUCAGCACAAGAUGAGAAAGCAGAGGCUCUGCAGGCGAUGAGCUUUACCCAUAGUCAGGGAUCAGCAAGGGUGGCAGCACUAGGGGCAAGGAGCCAGAUACAAGGCUGCUAAACCUCUGCCUGGAGCCAUAGCCACUGGGUCACACAGCCAUUCAGCUGUGGAGCAAACAGGUGAUGGCUGCGGUGUGACAUUCUAAAGCAGCAGGAGCUCCCAGCGGGAGCCAUGAUCUAAGUGCCAACGUCUGAAUGUCUGAGCCUUUCAAGUCAUCUCAAGAACAGGCAGCCUUACAGGUACCAUCCAAGCCUGCUAUUCUCCAGCCAUCACUGCCAUCCUCACCUAUUAAAAU
Long non-coding RNA from Heterocephalus glaber (naked mole-rat), 1289 nucleotides. NCBI's taxonomy places the organism in Eukaryota, Metazoa, Chordata, Mammalia, Rodentia, Bathyergidae. The record is from Ensembl.